UGGAAGAGUCUGCUGGUGGGAAGGGAGAAGAGUGGGAGGACGAAAUAAACAACAGGCAGCUUCCUUUCUUGACAGAUGGAAAAUAAAGGGCCUGUCCAUAGCUCGGCGAACUGCUCCGUGGACCUCCCAGCGGGGCUGCUUUCUGAGGUGAUGGUCUCCUCGCUCCUUAGCCAGCCUGGUGGAGCCAGCUAUUGACGUUGGAAAGGAGUUGGAGGAUGGAGCACCAGAUACUGCUACACCAUCUCAUUGGCAUGGACCUAUAUGUGGCAGCAAGUCCAUCUCAUCGCUUUUGGUGAAAGUCAGUCCAGUUUGUAAAGAUUCUCAUUGCCUUGGAAAGUGUUCCAGGAAUGGACUUUCUGCAGUAUGAUGACCUGCAAAAGCAGCCCUUCCAUUUACAUUUCAAACUCCAAGUCAGCCGUGUCAAAGUUUGAACCAGGACUGUGGAGGAUAAUGGGUCAGAUGCAAUUAGCAGCCCAGAGAACCGCAUGUUGCAGUCUGAUUUAUUUUUUUGCCCAUCAGAUUCCAAGAAUCCUAGUGCUUAAAAGCAACUAAACAAUCGCUCUAUUGUACUGAAAUAAAGCCCAGUUAAUUCAGAAAUCAAUUGCACCACCAGGUGGGGCACACUCUGGCCCCAAACAGAUGGGGUUGAAAACUCCCCCCAAAAUGCAGUCUUGUUAAAUUAAAAACUUGAUCCAGGAGUGGAACAAAUAGGGAGCCAUGAAUGGAAUGGAGUCAGGUCCACUGAGGCGGAUUCUUUCUUCUCCCACUCAUUUUCCUUUAAAAAAGAAAAAUUCCCCAUUUCACUUUCAUCAGUGUUAGCAUCUAUGCAGAAACACAGCCAUCCACCCUUUGCAGUUGAAUGUGUUACUUUAAUUAGUCUGAAAAUUAAAGGGCAACUCCGGGCCAAUGUGAAUGAUUAUGAAAAUACAUGUGCAUCCCAUGCAAUCUUCUCAUUUAAUUAAUAGUCUUGUAAACUAUAUGGUUCACUUUAAGUCAGUCAAGAGGUAUAACAACUCCAUUUUAAAUAUCCACUUAAUACUUAACAGGAUGUGAGGAACACACUAUAGCAUACGGUCCCGUCUCAAGUUUCACUGUCUGAAAUUUUUCAAAGCUGACCCAAGUCAACCCGAAAAAUGUUUAACACCCUGGGCUUGAACACAAGAAACUCUGUGAUGAACAGACAUUCAAUUACAUUUUUUGAAAGUGAGAAGCAUUUUUGUAAAAUAGCGACUCUGGAAACUAAUUGGCAGCCGCAAAACUUGUGAGCAAAGGCCAAAUCUUGUGGGGAACUUUUACUACAGUAACACGACUCAAAGAAAAUGUGAAUAAAAGGCAUCUUUGUUUCCCAGUCAAAUUAGCUGAUUAAGAAAUAAAACAUCUUAACAUGUU
RNAcentral lists this long non-coding RNA (1389 nucleotides) under Pongo abelii (Sumatran orangutan). RNAcentral's name for it is "lincRNA". The record is from RNAcentral. Lineage: Eukaryota; Metazoa; Chordata; Mammalia; Primates; Hominidae.